ACCGAGAGAGAGAAACUCCUCUACACACCUCCCUAGCAUUGACUGUGAUUAAUUCUAAUAAAUUCAUACCCCUUUUUCCAAGUGGACUACAUCUAAUGACUUAGUGAAAAUUUUAGAGACACAUGUCAUGACAUCUUGUCUCAUAUUACACUUCUUCAACAUCUGCUUCAUCCAAAUCCAAAGUAAUUGCUUACCACUGCUCCAUGCAGUAAUGUAUUCAGCUUCAUCAAAAGACAAGGUUACAAGGAUCUCUAACAAGGAAAGGGAUACUAUAAUGCAACGAAAACUCGUCCAAAAAUAUCACUCUAAAGCCUAAUCCGUGUUCAAUUUAAGCAUUCAAACCAUCCACACAGAGAUCAAUCAAAACCCCCAAAUAGAAAACCCUAGAUCUAAACCUCAAAAUAUCAAUUCCAAACAGCAGAUUCGUGCAAUUAAACAAGUUACAAGGAUCACUACCAAGGAAAAGGCUUUUAUAAUGCAACGAAAAACAUAUCGAGAAGUCCUCGCUAGAGCUCUGUAAUUCCGGCGAGAGGAAAUUACCUUAGGAGAGAAAGUUGAUGGUGGAUACAUGAUGAUGGUGAAUGCAUAGGGCGUGUGGUCCCAACAACAUGGAGCUCUUUUUUUUUUUGUAAUAUUUGGAUCUAAAUGAAAAUACUAACUUUAUUCUACUUUUUUUUUGUAUUUUGUAAAAUAAAAUGUAAAAUGAAAACUCUUUUUGUAUUACUCCUUCUUUUGUAAAAUAUGUAAAUAAAAACAAUUUUAUUCUAAUUUUUGUAUUAUCAUUUGGACAAAUAAUAUGCAAUAAAAACAACUUAAACUUUGUA
This is a long non-coding RNA of Lathyrus oleraceus (garden pea), 824 nucleotides long. RefSeq lists it as uncharacterized. NCBI's taxonomy places the organism in Eukaryota, Viridiplantae, Streptophyta, Magnoliopsida, Fabales, Fabaceae. The transcript has 2 exons. The record is from RefSeq and is a predicted model, not a curated record.